GACGAACGCUGGCGGCGUGCUUAACACAUGCAAGUCGAACGGAAAGGCCCUGCUUUUGUGGGGUGCUCGAGUGGCGAACGGGUGAGUAACACGUGAGUAACCUGCCCUUGACUUUGGGAUAACUUCAGGAAACUGGGGCUAAUACCGGAUAGGAGCUCCUGCUGCAUGGUGAGGGUUGGAUAGUUUCGGCGGUUGGGGAUGGACUCGCGGCUUAUCAGCUUGUUGGUGGGGUAGUGGCUUACCAAGGCUUUGACGGGUAGCCGGCCUGAGAGGGUGACCGGCCACAUUGGGACUGAGAUAGGGCCCAGACUCCUACGGGAGGCAGCAGUGGGGAAUAUUGCACAAUGGGCGGAAGCCUGAUGCAGCAACGCCGCGGGCGGGAUGACGGCCUUCGGGUUGUAAACCGCUUUCGCCUGUGACGAAGCGUGAGUGACGGUAAUGGGUAGAGAAGCACCGGCUAACUACGUG
Molecule: ribosomal RNA, 468 nt
Filed under: uncultured bacterium
Lineage: Bacteria
Description: partial 16S ribosomal RNA
Rfam family: Bacterial small subunit ribosomal RNA
Source: RNAcentral